Molecule: ribosomal RNA, 433 nt
Filed under: uncultured bacterium
Lineage: Bacteria
Description: partial 16S ribosomal RNA
Rfam family: Bacterial small subunit ribosomal RNA
Source: RNAcentral
AACGAACGCUGGCGGCAUGCCUAACACAUGCAAGUCGAACGAGACCUUCGGGUCUAGUGGCGCACGGGUGCGUAACGCGUGGGAACCUGCCCUUAGGUUCGGAAUAACUCCCCGAAAGGGGUGCUAAUACCGGAUAAUGUCUUCGGACCAAAGAUUUAUCGCCUUUGGAUGGGCCCGCGUUGGAUUAGCUAGUUGGUAGGGUAAAAGCCUACCAAGGCGACGAUCAUUAGCUGGUCUGAGAGGAUGGUCAGCCACACUGGGACUGAGACACGGCCCAGACUCCUACGGGAGGCAGCAGAGGGGAAUAUUGGACAAUGGGCGAAAGCCUGAACCAGCAAUGCCGCGUGAGUGAUGAAGGCCUGAGAGUUGUAAAGCUCUUUUACCCGGGAUGAUAAUGACAGUACCGGGAGAAUAAGCUCCGGCUAACUCCGUG